UACAGAGACUGCAAGCGUUAUUCGGAAUCACUGGGCGUAAAGGGUGCGCAGGCGGCUGUGUGUGUGAGGUGUGAAAGCCCGGGGCUUAACCCCGGAAUUGCACCUCAAACUACACGGCUAGAGCAUUGGAGAGGGGAGCAGAAUUCACGGUGUAGCAGUGAAAUGCGUAGAUAUCGUGAGGAAUACCAGAGGCGAAGGCGGCUACCUGGACAAUUGCUGACGCUCAGGCACGAAAGCGUGGGGAGCAAAAGGGAUUAGAUACCCCUGUAGUCCACGCCCUAAACGGUGCACACUAGGUCUUGGCGGAUUCGACCCCACCAGGGCCCCAGCUAACGCGUUAAGUGUGCCGCCUGAGGACUACGGCCGCAAGGCUA
RNAcentral lists this ribosomal RNA (374 nucleotides) under uncultured prokaryote. RNAcentral's name for it is "bacterial SSU rRNA". It matches the Rfam family "Bacterial small subunit ribosomal RNA", at positions 524 to 896 of the family's 1533-position model. The record is from RNAcentral.